RNAcentral lists this unclassified non-coding RNA (301 nucleotides) under uncultured fungus. Its description in RNAcentral is "sequence contains ITS2". The stretch from base 1 to 52 matches the Rfam family "5.8S ribosomal RNA", at positions 103 to 154 of the family's 154-position model. Lineage: Eukaryota; Fungi. The record is from RNAcentral.
AACGCACCUUGCGCUCCUUGGUAUUCCGAGGAGCAUGCCUGUUUGAGUGUCUUGAAGUCAUCAACCCCUCCCGUUUCGUGCGGAGAGGUGCGUUGGAGCUGGGGGACAUGCGGUCGUGAGGCCGCUCCCUUCAAAUGCUUCGGUAGGGCCUGUGGGUCGAACCCGGUCGGGCGUUGUAACAACCUCGCUCUGCUUACGGGACGUUCCCCUCUCGCGCCCUCCCUUGACCGCCUGUGGAGCGGUGGUCAGCGACACUUUGUAAUCUGACCUCAAAUCAGGUAGGACUACCCGCUGAACUUAA